GGGUUGUGAGGUUAAGCGACUAAGCGUACACGGUGGAUGCCCUGGCAGUCAGAGGCGAUGAAGGACGUGCUAAUCUGCGAUAAGCGUCGGUAAGGUGAUAUGAACCGUUAUAACCGGCGAUUUCCGAAUGGGGAAACCCAGUGUGUUUCGACACACUAUCAUUAACUGAAUCCAUAGGUUAAUGAGGCGAACCGGGGGAACUGAAACAUCUAAGUACCCCGAGGAAAAGAAAUCAACCGAGAUUCCCCCAGUAGCGGCGAGCGAACGGGGAGCAGCCCAGAGCCUGAAUCAGUGUGUGUGUUAGUGGAAGCGUCUGGAAAGGCGCGCGAUACAGGGUGACAGCCCCGUACACAAAAAUGCACAUGCUGUGAGCUCGAUGAGUAGGGCGGGACACGUGGUAUCCUGUCUGAAUAUGGGGGGACCAUCCUCCAAGGCUAAAUACUCCUGACUGACCGAUAGUGAACCAGUACCGUGAGGGAAAGGCGAAAAGAACCCCGGCGAGGGGAGUGAAAAAGAACCUGAAACCGUGUACGUACAAGCAGUGGGAGCACGCUUAGGCGUGUGACUGCGUACCUUUUGUAUAAUGGGUCAGCGACUUAUAUUCUGUAGCAAGGUUAACCGAAUAGGGGAGCCGAAGGGAAACCGAGUCUUAACUGGGCGUUAAGUUGCAGGGUAUAGACCCGAAACCCGGUGAUCUAGCCAUGGGCAGGUUGAAGGUUGGGUAACACUAACUGGAGGACCGAACCGACUAAUGUUGAAAAAUUAGCGGAUGACUUGUGGCUGGGGGUGAAAGGCCAAUCAAACCGGGAGAUAGCUGGUUCUCCCCGAAAGCUAUUUAGGUAGCGCCUCGUGAAUUCAUCUCCGGGGGUAGAGCACUGUUUCGGCAAGGGGGUCAUCCCGACUUACCAACCCGAUGCAAACUGCGAAUACCGGAGAAUGUUAUCACGGGAGACACACGGCGGGUGCUAACGUCCGUCGUGAAGAGGGAAACAACCCAGACCGCCAGCUAAGGUCCCAAAGUCAUGGUUAAGUGGGAAACGAUGUGGGAAGGCCCAGACAGCCAGGAUGUUGGCUUAGAAGCAGCCAUCAUUUAAAGAAAGCGUAAUAGCUCACUGGUCGAGUCGGCCUGCGCGGAAGAUGUAACGGGGCUAAACCAUGCACCGAAGCUGCGGCAGCGACGCUUAUGCGUUGUUGGGUAGGGGAGCGUUCUGUAAGCCUGUGAAGGUGUACUGUGAGGUAUGCUGGAGGUAUCAGAAGUGCGAAUGCUGACAUAAGUAACGAUAAAGCGGGUGAAAAGCCCGCUCGCCGGAAGACCAAGGGUUCCUGUCCAACGUUAAUCGGGGCAGGGUGAGUCGACCCCUAAGGCGAGGCCGAAAGGCGUAGUCGAUGGGAAACAGGUUAAUAUUCCUGUACUUGGUGUUACUGCGAAGGGGGGACGGAGAAGGCUAUGUUGGCCGGGCGACGGUUGUCCCGGUUUAAGCGUGUAGGCUGGUUUUCCAGGCAAAUCCGGAAAAUCAAGGCUGAGGCGUGAUGACGAGGCACUACGGUGCUGAAGCAACAAAUGCCCUGCUUCCAGGAAAAGCCUCUAAGCAUCAGGUAACAUCAAAUCGUACCCCAAACCGACACAGGUGGUCAGGUAGAGAAUACCAAGGCGCUUGAGAGAACUCGGGUGAAGGAACUAGGCAAAAUGGUGCCGUAACUUCGGGAGAAGGCACGCUGAUAUGUAGGUGAAGUCCCUCGCGGAUGGAGCUGAAAUCAGUCGAAGAUACCAGCUGGCUGCAACUGUUUAUUAAAAACACAGCACUGUGCAAACACGAAAGUGGACGUAUACGGUGUGACGCCUGCCCGGUGCCGGAAGGUUAAUUGAUGGGGUUAGCGCAAGCGAAGCUCUUGAUCGAAGCCCCGGUAAACGGCGGCCGUAACUAUAACGGUCCUAAGGUAGCGAAAUUCCUUGUCGGGUAAGUUCCGACCUGCACGAAUGGCGUAAUGAUGGCCAGGCUGUCUCCACCCGAGACUCAGUGAAAUUGAACUCGCUGUGAAGAUGCAGUGUACCCGCGGCAAGACGGAAAGACCCCGUGAACCUUUACUAUAGCUUGACACUGAACAUUGAGCCUUGAUGUGUAGGAUAGGUGGGAGGCUUUGAAGUGUGGACGCCAGUCUGCAUGGAGCCG
This 2171-nucleotide ribosomal RNA is filed under the name Escherichia coli. RNAcentral describes it as "partial 23S ribosomal RNA". It matches the Rfam family "Bacterial large subunit ribosomal RNA", at positions 1 to 2188 of the family's 2925-position model. Lineage: Bacteria; Pseudomonadati; Pseudomonadota; Gammaproteobacteria; Enterobacterales; Enterobacteriaceae. The record is from RNAcentral.